RNAcentral lists this transfer RNA (78 nucleotides) under Tiarina fusus. RNAcentral describes it as "Tiarina fusa tRNA". It matches the Rfam family "tRNA". From Rfam's summary of the family: Transfer RNA (tRNA) molecules are approximately 80 nucleotides in length. Their secondary structure includes four short double-helical elements and three loops (D, anti-codon, and T loops). Lineage: Eukaryota; Ciliophora; Prostomatea; Prorodontida; Colepidae. The record is from RNAcentral.
AGUGGUGGCCGAGGGGUUAAGGCGCUAGCCUGCUAAGUUAGUAGGAUUUUCCUGCGCGAGUUCGAAUCUCGCCCACUG